UGGGGAAUAUUGCACAAUGGGCGAAAGCCUGACGGAGCAACGCCGCGUGAGUGAAGAAGGUUUUCGGAUCGUAAAGCUCUGUUAUCGGGGGCGAAAGGUGAGACUGUGAAUAAUGGUUUCAUAAGACGGUACCUGAUGAGAAAGCCACGGCUAACUACGUGCCAGCAGCCGCGGUAAUACGUAGGUGGCAAGCGUUGUCCGGAAUGAUUGGGCGUAAAGGGUGCGUAGGCGGCAACGUCAGUCUGAAGUAAAAGGCAUUGGCUCAACCAAUGUAAGCUUUGGAAACUGCGUAGCUAGAGUGCAGGAGAGGUCAGUGGAAUUCCAUGUGUAGCGGUAAAAUGCGUAGAUAUAUGGAGGAACACCAGUGGCGAAGGCGGCUGACUGGCCUGCAACUGACGCUGAAGCACGAAAGCGUGGGGAGCAAAUA
This 427-nucleotide ribosomal RNA is filed under the name uncultured bacterium. Its description in RNAcentral is "bacterial SSU rRNA". It matches the Rfam family "Bacterial small subunit ribosomal RNA", at positions 355 to 774 of the family's 1533-position model. The record is from RNAcentral.